CGCCCUUGUGACUGAACUAGAUUGAUAUUUUUGAAAUGUCUAUGCCAUACUUAUUCUUCUACCCUUCGUGAACCGAUGAUCUUAUGUUGGAGAAAUAUCAUCUUUCCUGCUUACGAGCAAGGAGGAUAUAUUCAGAACGUAAGCUCCAUUGGGGCAUUUUAUCCCAGUGGUUAUUCGUUCUUCCAAAGAGUUCCUACGAUUUAUACCGGCUCCUCAUUCACUCGCCUAUCAGCAGAUGUGUCAAUUUGCUAUUGUCAGCAAAGUUCUAGACUCAUCUAGAGGGGGGAAAUCAA
This 293-nucleotide long non-coding RNA is filed under the name Oryza brachyantha (malo sina). RNAcentral's name for it is "long non-coding RNA (OBRA_LNC003595)". Lineage: Eukaryota; Viridiplantae; Streptophyta; Magnoliopsida; Poales; Poaceae. The record is from RNAcentral.